This 77-nucleotide transfer RNA is filed under the name Halobacteriovoraceae bacterium. Its description in RNAcentral is "tRNA-Pro". It matches the Rfam family "tRNA". From Rfam's summary of the family: Transfer RNA (tRNA) molecules are approximately 80 nucleotides in length. The record is from RNAcentral. Lineage: Bacteria; Pseudomonadati; Bdellovibrionota; Bacteriovoracia; Bacteriovoracales; Halobacteriovoraceae.
CGGGGUGUAGCGCAGCCUGGUAGCGUAACUGCUUUGGGAGCAGGAGGUCGGAGGUUCAAAUCCUCUCGCCCCGACCA